UACGGGAGGCAGCAGUGGGGAAUAUUGCACAAUGGGCGAAAGCCUGAUGCAGCUAUGCCGCGUGUAUGAAGAAGGCCUUAGGGGUUGUAAAGUACUUUCAUCGGGGAGGAAAAAACAAAACUAAUAAUUUUAUUUCUUGACGUUACCCGAAAAAGAAGCACCGGCUAACUCCGUGCCAGCAGCCGCGGUAAUACGGAGGGUGCUAGCGUUAAUCAGAAUUACUGGGCGUAAAGAGCACGUAGGUGGUUUUUUUAAGUCAGAUGUGAAAUCCCUGGGCUUUAACCUAGGAACUGCAUUUUGAAACUGAAAUACUAGAGUAUCGUAGAGGGAGGUAGAAUUCUAGGUGUAGCGGUGAAAUGCGUAGAUAUCUGGAGGAAUACCUGUGGCGAAAGCGGCCUCCUAAACGAAUACUGACACUGAGGGUGCGAAAGCGUGGGGAGCAAACAGGGAUUAGAUACC
Molecule: ribosomal RNA, 459 nt
Filed under: uncultured bacterium
Lineage: Bacteria
Description: bacterial SSU rRNA
Rfam family: Bacterial small subunit ribosomal RNA
Source: RNAcentral